GCGAGCAUGGAGCACGAGGAUAGCAUUUCGGCUGUUGCAUAUUUGCAUUUUUUGGUGGAACUUUGAUGACUGAUAAACAUUAUUGAAUAUGGGCAGGCCGAACAGGGAUCAUAGACUAACAUUCAUUCAAAAUUUUUCGUGCGGCGGGAUUGCAGGCAUCACAAGUCGAACUUUAACUUCACCGCUUGACGUGGUCAAAAUUGUGUCACAAGUCGGAACGAAUGAUUCUCGCCAAGGAUUUCUUCGAACGUUCAUUAAUUUGUACCAAAAGCAAGGACUUCGUGCUUUUUGGAAAGGGAACCUUUUGGGUUGCCUGAGACUUUUUCCAUUUUCUGCGGUUCAGAUACAUCCUUCAACUUCUUCAGAGUUCAAUUUCAGGACGAAUAUGGCCGAUGUUCGGGGUCAUAUGCUUUGCUGGCUGGAACUUUAGGCGGCGCUGUUGCCACAAUCGUGACCUACCCGACUGACAUGAUAAAAACUAGGCUGAUAGUGCAACACACAAAUACGCCUAGGUACAGGGGUAUUGUUCAUGCAUUCAAGUUAGUGCUUCAAGAAGAAGGACUUUUAGCAUUUUACAGAGGCCUAUUCGCUUCACUCGUUG
Non-coding RNA from Saccoglossus kowalevskii, 601 nucleotides. The record is from RefSeq and is a predicted model, not a curated record. NCBI's taxonomy places the organism in Eukaryota, Metazoa, Hemichordata, Enteropneusta, Harrimaniidae.